CAGCAGCCGCGGGAAUACAGAGGGUGCGAGCGUUAAUCGGAUUUACUGGGCGUAAAGCGUGCGUAGGCGGCUUUUUAAGUCGGAUGUGAAAUCCCUGAGCUUAACUUAGGAAUUGCAUUCGAUACUGGGAAGCUAGAGUAUGGGAGAGGAUGGUAGAAUUCCAGGUGUAGCGGUGAAAUGCGUAGAGAUCUGGAGGAAUACCGAUGGCGAAGGCAGCCAUCUGGCCUAUACUGACGCUGAGGUACGAAAGCAUGGGGAGCAAACAGGAUUAGAUACCCCAGUAGUCCCUGUCUCUUAUACC
RNAcentral lists this ribosomal RNA (301 nucleotides) under uncultured bacterium. RNAcentral describes it as "partial 16S ribosomal RNA". It matches the Rfam family "Bacterial small subunit ribosomal RNA", at positions 509 to 808 of the family's 1533-position model. The record is from RNAcentral.